AGCGAACGCUGGCGGCAGGCUUAACACAUGCAAGUCGAGCGGGCACUUUCGGGUGUCCGCGGCGGACGGGUGAGUAACGCGUGGGAACGUGCCCUCUGGUUCGGAAUAACUCAGGGAAACUUGAGCUAAUACCGGAUACGCCCUUUUGGGGAAAGGCUUGCUGCCGGAGGAUCGGCCCGCGUCCGAUUAGCUAGUUGGUGAGGUAACGGCUCACCAAGGCGACGAUCAGUAGCUGGUCUGAGAGGAUGAUCAGCCACACUGGGACUGAGACACGGCCCAGACUCCUACGGGAGGCAGCAGUGGGGAAUAUUGGACAAUGGGCGCAAGCCUGAUCCAGCCAUGCCGCGUGAGUGAUGAAGGCCUUAGGGUUGUAAAGCUCUUUUAUCCGGGACGAUAAUGACGGUACCGGAGGAAUAAGCCCCGGCUAACUUCGUG
RNAcentral lists this ribosomal RNA (435 nucleotides) under uncultured bacterium. Its description in RNAcentral is "partial 16S ribosomal RNA". It matches the Rfam family "Bacterial small subunit ribosomal RNA", at positions 29 to 507 of the family's 1533-position model. The record is from RNAcentral.